GGGGCUAGAAACAUAACUAGGUUGGCUAGGGGCUAGAAACAGAACUAGGUUGGCUAGUUGGUCAGGAGCUAGAAACAGAACUAGGUUGGCUAGUUGGCCAGGAGCUACAAACAGAACUAGGUUGGCUAGUUGGCCAGGAGCUAGAAACAGAACUAGGUUGGCCAGGAGCUAGAAACAGAACUAGGUCGGCCAGGAGCAAGAAACAGAACUAGGAUGGCUAGGAGCUAGAAACAGAACUAGGUUGGCCAGUAGCUAGAAACAGAACUAGGUUGGCUAGUUGGUCAGGAGCUAGAAACAGAACUAGGUUGGCUAGUUGGCCAGGAGCUACAAACAGAACUAGGUUGGCU
Molecule: long non-coding RNA, 347 nt
Filed under: Salmo salar (Atlantic salmon)
Lineage: Eukaryota; Metazoa; Chordata; Actinopteri; Salmoniformes; Salmonidae
Description: lncRNA (ENSSSAG00000102230.1)
Source: RNAcentral